RNAcentral lists this ribosomal RNA (253 nucleotides) under uncultured bacterium. RNAcentral describes it as "partial 16S ribosomal RNA". It matches the Rfam family "Bacterial small subunit ribosomal RNA", at positions 524 to 776 of the family's 1533-position model. The record is from RNAcentral.
UACAGAGGGGGCAAGCGUUGUUCGGAAUUACUGGGCGUAAAGGGCGCGUAGGCGGCCUUCUAAGUCGAACGUGAAAUCCCCGGGCUCAACCCGGGAACUGCGUCCGAUACUGGAAGGCUUGAAUCCGGGAGAGGGAUGUGGAAUUCCAGGUGUAGCGGUGAAAUGCGUAGAUAUCUGGAGGAACACCGGUGGCGAAGGCGGCGACCUGGUCCGAUACUGACGCUGAGGCGCGAAAGCGUGGGGAGCAAACAGG